AAUCAACGCUGGCGGCGUGCCUAACUCAUGCAAGUCGAACGCGAAAGUCCCGCAAGGGAUAAGUAGAGUGGCAAACGGGUGAGUAACACGUGGGUGACCUGCCUUCGAGUGGGGGAUAACGUCCCGAAAGGGACGCUAAUACCGCAUAACAUCCUGCCUUUUAAGAGGUGGAGAUCAAAGCUGGGGACCGCAAGGCCUGGCGCUGGAAGAGGGGCCCGCGUCUGAUUAGCUAGUUGGUGAGGUAACGGCUCACCAAGGCAACGAUCAGUAUCCGGCCUGAGAGGGGCGGACGGGACACACUGGGACUGAGACACGGCCCAGACUCCUACGGGAGGCAGCAGUGGGGAAUUGUUCGCAAUGGGCGCAAGCCUGACGACGCAACGCCGCGUGGAGGAUGAAGACC
This 403-nucleotide ribosomal RNA is filed under the name uncultured bacterium. Its description in RNAcentral is "bacterial SSU rRNA". It matches the Rfam family "Bacterial small subunit ribosomal RNA", at positions 29 to 416 of the family's 1533-position model. The record is from RNAcentral.